Molecule: non-coding RNA, 1019 nt
Organism: Paramuricea clavata
Lineage: Eukaryota; Metazoa; Cnidaria; Anthozoa; Malacalcyonacea; Plexauridae
Source: the annotation of a GenBank genome assembly
AAUAGAGCCAGUGUUACUACAGGAGGAAACCUAAGCUAAACUAACUUCAUUUACACUGGAUAGCUCCAUCAAUUCUAAGCUGUCUCUCUAGAUGUCAAGUCAGAGCCAGUUGUAAUGGCGCAACCUUGCUACAUGAGGAAAUCUGAACUACAUCAGCUUUAUUUAUACCCAGUAGCUCUAUCAGUUGUAAACUGUUGUCCUCACAGAUCCUACAAAGAUAAUUGCAGUUACUGCAGGAGAAAACCAGACUACUUGGAGAAAGCCUGCCGCGUUUGGUAGAGACAAAAUGAAAGCACACUUCUCACAUACAGCUGAGGAGACUACUUACUGUAACAUUGCAGGAAUCGAAGAUUUCAUACAUGUACCUUAAUUUGAGUUUUUGUGUCAGCUUUCUUGCCAUGUGAACUGUCUUUAACACUAAAUGUAAGAUCGUUAUUAUUGCAUUCAGGCAAUGGCGUUGUUGUAUCGUAACUAAUAUCAUUGCACCCCCCUGGACGUGUGCCAUUCAUUCACCGGAAAAGAACUAUACAAAACGAAGUACCAUCGGGUGCAUUUUUCAGUGUUCAUUCACCGGAAAUUAAAUGUACAAAACCAAGCUACCGCUGUUUGCAUCUAAGGAGAAACACGUUGGAAAAAAACACUAUUUAUUCCUACACAAGGACUCUCAAUCGGUCAAAAAAACUUUCCCAAUUUACUUUUAACGGACAAAACUUUUUUUCUGGCUAACACCCUGUAAAAUUUCAAUUUAUUCGUGUAACCAAGAUCAAUAUUGAACGGUUUGUGCCAGUGUAGGUAGUAACAAUAAUAAGAAAGUUUCGGAUUGAUAGGGAUACAACUACAUGAAAAAUACAAGGAGAACUUCGACGUUUCGAGCGAAGGUCCUUCGUUGGGAAGUUAGUACCUAGAUUAAACUUCAGUAUUUACAGUAUAAAUUCACGGGUUUAUAAAUUCACGGGUUUAUUAAUGGACCUUUCACCUUUUGACUAAAAUUUUGAUCUCAACAAGUCUAGACAAAAAUU